RNAcentral lists this ribosomal RNA (489 nucleotides) under uncultured bacterium. RNAcentral describes it as "partial 16S ribosomal RNA". It matches the Rfam family "Bacterial small subunit ribosomal RNA", at positions 29 to 506 of the family's 1533-position model. The record is from RNAcentral.
AGUGAACGCUGGCGGUAGGCCUAACACAUGCAAGUCGAACGGCAGCACAGGAGAGCUUGCUCUCUAGGUGGCGAGUGGCGGACGGGUGAGGAAUACACGGGAACCGGCCCAGCGGGGGGGGAAAAGUAAGGGAAACUUACGCUAAUACCGCAUCCGCCCUCCGGGGGAAGGGGGGGGAUCGCAAACCCUCCGGGGUUUGGAUGGGCCGAUGUCGGAUUAGCUAGUUGGCGGGGUAAUGGCCCACCAAGGCGACGAUCCGUAGCUGGUCUGAGAGGAUGAUCAGCCACACUGGAACUGAGACACGGUCCAGACUCCUACGGGAGGCAGCAGUGGGGAAUAUUGGACAAUGGGCGCAAGCCUGAUCCAGCCAUACCGCGUGGGUGAAGAAGGCCUUCGGGUUGUAAAGCCCUUUUGUUGGGAAAGAAAUCUUUCAGGCUAAUACCCUGGGAGGAUGACGGUACCCAAAGAAUAAGCACCGGCUAACUUCGU